Molecule: RNA transcript, 1154 nt
Organism: Athalia rosae (coleseed sawfly)
Lineage: Eukaryota; Metazoa; Arthropoda; Insecta; Hymenoptera; Athaliidae
Exons: 3
Source: RefSeq, a predicted model, not a curated record
AACUUGUAUUGCAGCUGCAGCUGCCGAUUAGUGUGCUUACCGAGGUGCUUAUACUAACGAUUAAUGUAAAAUAGAAGAUUGACGUAAAUAUGAUAGGGAAAUUUUUCCGCUGGAUUAGAUUCACCUUGUUAUAUUAUUAUAGCUACACGAUUAUAAAGUAUAUAGAGACUCGAAAUUUGUAUUUUUACUCAAAAUGUUGAACUUCAUAUUCUUGUUUAUCUAAUUCAAAAGUAAAACUCGUUGAUCAAUUAAAACGAAAAAAAAAACUAUUUAUAAACCGAAUCCAAGCUCGUUAAGAAUAUGCGUAAUUUUAUUUUCUUAUAUCAUACGUGAAGAAGUUGUCGUACGUACGUGCGGUUGAACACUCAAAAAUGAAAUAACAAAAAAUAAAAAACUAUACCGAAUAAUUGCGAGAAGAUGAGAAUGCCAGCAGACACUCUGGAAUCGUUUCGAGAAGCAACCAUUUUUAAAAUGUUUCAACAUUCAAUGCAUUCGACUCAUCGCCGGUGACGAUGUUGAAAAUUUUGAACAUCAAUUCGUAUAUAAAAAAUUUAUACCUCGGCAGCAUCGUCGUCGUUGUAUAGGUACGUACGUACGUACACCUGUAGCGAUAACCGGAUAUCGUCUACGUAUACGAAAAAAAUUAAAAGAAAUGCGGGCGGACGUAACGACAGAAUCCAGGUAGAAAUCGAAGAGCGUUACAAAUCGUGGAAAUGUGGGCUGAAGAUGAGAGAAGAGAGAAAAAAAAAAAAGGUGAAAUGGUGGAAGAAAGAAGGUUGAACCGUUCGGUUAUUACGGCAUGACCUCAUUUCCCCGGUGAAGAUAAGGAUUUUCCAUGCAUCCAUCCGGACGACGCGCGUCGGGUUGAGAAACCAGUAGAUCAUGGAAAUGGAUAGUGUAGAAUUUACGAGGUCACGAGCGAAUCAAAGGAAUGCCGUUGCCUGGAACACACCGAACAUUCGGUCGAAAUCGUCAAGCUCCAGGUUCUAAAUCGGUUGAACAAGGAAUAUAUUCCGUAUUAAUGGGAGAAAAAAUAUACGAAGACGUAAGAGGACCAACAACAGCAAAAUUCAGCUGUUAAUCUGUUAACUUUUCUAAUUAACGUCAACCUCGUAUCAUCGCACGGGGUUCGGUUGAUCGGUAGCGGGUCUUUU